UACGGGGGGGGUAAGCGUUGUUCGGAAUUACUGGGCGUAAAGGGCUCGUAGGCGGCCAACUAAGUCAUACGUGAAAUCCCUCAGCUUAACUGUGGGCGUGCGGUCGAUACGGGCAUCACUGGAGUUCGGUAGGGGAGAAUGGAAUUCCCGGUGUAGCGGUGAAAUGCGCAGAUAUCGGGAGGAACACCAGUGGCGAAGGCGGCACUCUGGGCCGGUACUGACGCUGAGGAGCGAAAGCGUGGGGAGCGAACAGG
RNAcentral lists this ribosomal RNA (254 nucleotides) under uncultured bacterium. RNAcentral describes it as "partial 16S ribosomal RNA". It matches the Rfam family "Bacterial small subunit ribosomal RNA", at positions 524 to 776 of the family's 1533-position model. The record is from RNAcentral.